GACGAACGCUGGCGGCGUGCUUAACACAUGCAAGUCGAACGAUGACGACCGAGCUUGCUCGGUCUGAUUAGUGGCGAACGGGUGAGUAACACGUGAGCAACCUGCCCUUCACUCUGGGAUAACCUCGGGAAAUCGGGGCUAAUACCGGAUAUGAGCUCCUGUCGCAUGGCGGGUGUUGGAAAGUUUUUCGGUGAAGGAUGGGCUCGCGGCCUAUCAGUUUGUUAGUGAGGUAGUGGCUCACCAAGGCGAUGACGGGUAGCCGGCCUGAGAGGGCGACCGGCCACGCUGGGACUGAGACACGGCCCAGACUCCUACGGGAGGCAGCAGUGGGGAAUAUUGCACAAUGGGCGAAAGCCUGAUGCAGCGACGCCGCGUGAGGGAUGACGGCCUUCGGGUUGUAAACCUCUUUCAGCAGGGAAGAAGCGAAAGUGACGGUACCUGCAGAAGAAGCGCCGGCUAACUACGUG
RNAcentral lists this ribosomal RNA (467 nucleotides) under uncultured bacterium. Its description in RNAcentral is "partial 16S ribosomal RNA". It matches the Rfam family "Bacterial small subunit ribosomal RNA", at positions 28 to 507 of the family's 1533-position model. The record is from RNAcentral.